This is a non-coding RNA of Ciona intestinalis (vase tunicate), 70 nucleotides long. Lineage: Eukaryota; Metazoa; Chordata; Ascidiacea; Phlebobranchia; Cionidae. The record is from the annotation of a RefSeq genome assembly.
CUAAGUGUAAUUUAUAAAAAAAUUUAGAAUUGUGGUUUCUAAUUAAUCAAAUUGAAAUUGAUCAUUUAGA